RNAcentral lists this long non-coding RNA (265 nucleotides) under Mytilus galloprovincialis (Mediterranean mussel). Lineage: Eukaryota; Metazoa; Mollusca; Bivalvia; Mytilida; Mytilidae. The record is from RNAcentral.
AGAUAAACUGUGAACAGGAAUAAUGUUCAGCAAAGUAAGAUUUACAAAUAAGUCAACAUGACGGAAAUGGUCAGUUGACCCCUUUAGGAGUUAUUGCCCUUUAUAGUCAAUUUUUAACCAUUUUUCGUGAAUCUUAGUAAUCUUUUACAAAAAUCUUCUCCUCUGAAACUACUGGGCCAAAUACUUCCAAACUUUAACUGAAUGUUCCUUAGGGUAUCUAGUUUGUAAAUUGUAUCCGAAAUUAUGAUCUAUCAACAAACAUGGU